Molecule: long non-coding RNA, 155 nt
Organism: Amblyraja radiata (thorny skate)
Lineage: Eukaryota; Metazoa; Chordata; Chondrichthyes; Rajiformes; Rajidae
Exons: 3
Source: RefSeq, a predicted model, not a curated record
GAGGGCAGUGGAGGCCAAGCCAGUGGAUAUUUUGAAGGCAGGGGUAGCCAAAUUCUUGAUUUGAACUGGUGUCAGGUUUAUGGGGAGAAGGCAGGAAAAUUGGAUUAGGAGGCAGAGGUCAGCCAUGAUUGAAUGGCAGAGUAGACUCAAUGGGC